RNA transcript from Ixodes scapularis (black-legged tick), 997 nucleotides. RefSeq lists it as uncharacterized. The record is from RefSeq and is a predicted model, not a curated record. NCBI's taxonomy places the organism in Eukaryota, Metazoa, Arthropoda, Arachnida, Ixodida, Ixodidae. The transcript is spliced from 4 exons.
UUGUCCGUGUGUGUUUCAAAUCUCCGUCAUAAAGUAAAUUUACCGAUUAUUCGUGAUGCGUGGAGUUCACCUUAGUUUCAAGUGUGUCUGAAAAAGAAGGAAGCUACUGUGAGCCGUGCAACUACGUCGAAUCUGCUCAACAGCCGAGAUCGUGGCACGGUCGUUCCAAACCCUUGCCAAGCAGAAGUUGGCAUUCACCUUCACCAUCCCGAUGUGAGUGUCCUGGGACGACACAGGAUGACAGUCUCCUCUGCUGAAGUCCAGGCUUCAUGGGAGACUGCCAAGGCUGUUUAUGUGGCAGCAGCACCAGCUCCUGUGAUGCAGAGCAUGUGCAACACAGGUGCAGCCUUCGGUGGUGCAGCUGCAAUACCUGCAACCUUAGAUGGAGCAGCUGGUACAGUCGGACCUGCAUCCGCUGAGGCAGCUGCUAAAGAGCCCACUGAGGUGGAGCCAUAUCAGCUGCUAAACUUCCUAGAAUGUGAAAUGAUGCAUGUCUACGACGGUUGAUGUCAAGGUGACGUGGAAAGCCUGGGGUGACAACAUAGUGAACCAGGACAUAAGGUCAAGCGUUGCUGUGAAGAACCUGACCGUUGCUCUGUGGGGGUCCAGUGUCCUGCAGAGGACUGUGGCCGAAAUGGCGUCGAAUGUGAGUCUUAACAAGGACAGCAGGCUGCCUCUGACACCCAAGAAAGCCCCAUUCCUAAGAGGCGAGUGCAAAUUAUCUCACGUAAGCGUAACCUAAGCAGUUAUUUGAAAAAUCUUCUCAAUCAAGGCAGUAUCUUGGCAGCUAGUUGGUAUUAUACUGGGAGUUCACAAUGUUUCGGUGAUCUUUGGAUAGACCGCAUAAAACUGAUAGGAUUGAGCACACAGCUGUGACAUAAUGGUGGAAGCUUUCAGUAAAAUUAUAGGAAGAUUAGGUAACCUCGGUAAAACACAAAAGCUAUAUUUUUUUUUAUUUUUUGCGUGCCAACACCAGAUUUAUAUUUUUUUUUGUGCC